This 540-nucleotide ribosomal RNA is filed under the name uncultured bacterium. RNAcentral describes it as "bacterial SSU rRNA". It matches the Rfam family "Bacterial small subunit ribosomal RNA", at positions 777 to 1314 of the family's 1533-position model. The record is from RNAcentral.
AAUAGAUACCCCGGUAGUCCACGCCGUAAACGAUGAGUGCUAAGUGUUAGGGGGGUUUCCGCCCCUUAGUGCUGCAGCUAACGCAUUAAGCACUCCGCCUGGGGAGUACGGUCGCAAGACUGAAACUCAAAGGAAUUGACGGGGGCCCGCACAAGCGGUGGAGCAUGUGGUUUAAUUCGAAGCAACGCGAAGAACCUUACCAGGUCUUGACAUCCCAUUGGCCACUAUGGAGACAUAGUUUUCCCUUCGGGGACAACGGUGACAGGUGGUGCAUGGUUGUCGUCAGCUCGUGUCGUGAGAUGUUGGGUUAAGUCCCGCAACGAGCGCAACCCUUGUUCUUAGUUGCCAUCAUUUAGUUGGGCACUCUAAGGAGACUGCCGGUGACAAACCGGAGGAAGGUGGGGAUGACGUCAAAUCAUCAUGCCCCUUAUGACCUGGGCUACACACGUGCUACAAUGGACGGUACAAACGGUUGCCAACCCGCGAGGGGGAGCUAAUCCGAUAAAACCGUUCUCAGUUCGGAUUGCAGGCUGCAACUCG